Molecule: long non-coding RNA, 2337 nt
Filed under: Homo sapiens (human)
Lineage: Eukaryota; Metazoa; Chordata; Mammalia; Primates; Hominidae
Description: GALNT7 divergent transcript
Source: RNAcentral
GCGGGCUUGGGUCGUCCGGCCGCGGGGUCAGGGAAGACCAGAGGACCACUAGCCCCAGGAAGCUUCCCACCACCAGCAAACUGCGUGGUGAAUUUGUAACCGAAAGGCCCAGGUGAGAUGUGCAAAUAUCACUGGAUUGGAGGAGCUCACUUGGAAAGCCAGUAUUCCUCCUGAGCUAAUGAAAAGAAAGGCUGUCGUCUUAUGCCAAAAGCAAUACCAACCUUGUUCACGGGCUGAGAUCUAGAGUGUGUAAUUCACGAAGUAUGAAUCUGCUGGGUAAUGUGAUAUGAAAAGCGAAUGCACCAUUUCUUGGUGAUGAUUCAGGUCAGCGUUGGGACCCAGGAAUCUCCUGUUAAUCAGUACCCUGGUGAUUUUGAUCCAGAGACGGGGUCUAUUAUCUGGUCCUGUUGUCAAGGCUGGUCUCAAACUCCUGGCCUCCAGCGAUCCUCCCUUUUUGGCCUCCCAAGAUGCUGGUAUUACAGGCAUGAGCCACCAUGGUCCACCCGGACUCCUUUUCAUAGGAGACAGUUCCCUAGGCAGAGACUGGGCUUGAAACAGGUAACUUACAAGGCAUCCUGUGAUCAUAAGAGAAUAAUUCCAUUUGAAAUCAGCAGCUGAAGUCCACCUGAAUAAUUAAGUCUUUCACUUGUGUUAUUUUCACAGGGGAGACAGUUUUUUAUUCUUAAGAAGGUAGGAAGCUUUAUUUUUACUGUUAUGAGCAUAGCUGGGCAAGUAUGCAAAUGGAAAGUGAUACCUAUCAUCAAAGUAUUGAGGAUGGUCCUUUGAAGGCCCUAGUAUUCUGAGAACAUCCUGCCACCACUACCACCCCCCAACUUUAGUUUUACACAGAGAACUUAAAAUAUGUGUGAAAGAGUAUAUAGUUAUACAGUUGUAUAUUGAUGAAUAGGUAUAUAGUUGUAAAAGUUUAUGUUUCUCUGAGUCUUAAUAACUUUUAAAAGAAACUGCAAGUAAACUAACACAGGAACAGAAAACGAAAUAUUGCAUGUUCUCACUUAUAAGUGGGAGCUAAAUGAUGAGAACACAUGGACACAUAGAGGGGAACAACACACACUGGGGCCUAUUGGAGGGUGGAGGGUGGGAGGAGGGAGAGGAUCAGGAAAAAUAACUAAUGUGGGUACUAGGCUUAAUACCUGGGUGAUGAAAUAAUCUGUACAAACCCCCAUAACACAAGUUUACCUAUGUACCAAACCUGCACAUGUACCCCUGAACUUAAAAGUUUAAAAAAAGUGCAAAUAUACCUUAAAACAUAUGCCCAUUGCAGUAUUUGCUGGGAGGCAGCCUUUGUAGGGUUGACAGAACUCGUUUAGAAAAUGAGGAGCUACAUUCAAAGCUUCAGUCAAGAUAAAUCACGUACCUCUCUGAACCUAGGGCUUUUAUCUGCCAAAUAGUGAUUACAAUACUCAACCUUAUGAUGUUCUCAAAAGGAAUAAUUGAGAUCAAGUACAUAUACAAAUAUAAAGUACAAUUAGUGUAAUGGAACAAGUCUCAGGUGCGUGUGGCUAUAAUUCUUGUUUUAUGAAUGCUGCAGUUCCUCUAAAGAAGAGGGUAGAGACUAGAACUGAAUGAGAUGGACAUAGAGAUGGCCAAGAAAAGCAUCGUCCUCUGCCAAGUCAUGGGGUCAUGUGUGGUGGAUGGUGACAUGGUGUCCUCAGCUCAGAGUCCAGCUGGGGGCUCAGAAGCAAGGUAACUGAAGGGAGAGAAUUAUUUGAGCACCUAGUGUGUGUAAGAUGCUUCACAUUUAUUAUUUCACCUAACCUCUACACAACCUGUUGUGGGUAUUACUGGUCUCAAGCUGGGAUUCAAAGCAGGUUUUUCCAACCUCAGAAUUCUUGCCAGACUGAUUAGCCUUCUGCAUCUGGAACAUAAAUGUUUUCAGGCAGCAUAAUGUGCAAGAGGUCAGAGCCUAAAGCUUUGUUAUUUUUUAAUUUCUCCACCAUGUCAACUCUGUUACAGGGAAGCCCAGCAGAGGGAAUUGUAUCCAUUUUGGGGCUACACUACCCCAAUGCUAUGCUGCAGCCAAGCUGAACUUCUAAGUUUCUAAAUGUAACUCACUUACCUUCAGGCCUUUGUACGGGGAGUUCUUUUUGCCUGAAAUACCUUCUGACAUCUUAACAUUACGCUUAGAUGUCAGUUACAAAAAAGCUUUUUCUAGACUCUCUCACAUGUCCCACUCCACACCCCUAUAUCUCUUCCCACCAAUGUACUAGGGUAGGUAUCCUGCUAGGUACUUCCACUGCACCCUCUACUUUUCUUCCCUAAUGAUUACCACUAUAUUGUAAUUGCUUAAUUUCUUUUUCCUAUACCCAGAUAAAAAUG